RNAcentral lists this unclassified non-coding RNA (253 nucleotides) under uncultured Chlamydiales bacterium. RNAcentral describes it as "contains 16S-23S intergenic spacer region". It matches the Rfam family "Bacterial small subunit ribosomal RNA", at positions 524 to 776 of the family's 1533-position model. The record is from RNAcentral. Lineage: Bacteria; Pseudomonadati; Chlamydiota; Chlamydiia; Chlamydiales.
UACGGAGGGUGCAAGCAUUGAUCGGAAUUACUGGGCGUAAAGGGCGCGUAGGCGGUUAAAUAAGUCAGAUGUGAAAUUCCGGGGCUCAACCCCGGAGCAGCAUUUGAAACUAUUUGGCUAGAGGUAGCUUAGGGAAAACGGAAUUCCACGUGUAGCGGUGAAAUGCGUAGAUAUGUGGAAGAACACCGGUGGUGAAGACGGUUUUCUGGAGCUAAGCUGACGCUGAGGCGCGAAAGCUAGGGGAGCAAACAGG